Molecule: ribosomal RNA, 466 nt
Filed under: uncultured bacterium
Lineage: Bacteria
Description: partial 16S ribosomal RNA
Rfam family: Bacterial small subunit ribosomal RNA
Source: RNAcentral
GACGAACGCUGGCGGUGUGCCUAACACAUGCAAGUCGAACGGUAAGGCCCUUUCGGGGGUACACGAGUGGCGAACGGGUGAGUAACACGUGAGUAACCUGCCCUCAUCUCUGGGAUAACAGUCGGAAACGGUUGCUAAUACUGGAUAUGAGCUUGCAAGGCAUCUUGUGGGUUGGAAAGAUUUUUUUGGUUGGGGAUGGACUCGCGGCCUAUCAGCUUGUUGGUGAGGUAGCGGCUCACCAAGGCUUCGACGGGUAGCCGGCCUGAGAGGGCGACCGGCCACAUUGGGACUGAGAUACGGCCCAAACUCCUACGGGAGGCAGCAGUGGGGAAUAUUGCACAAUGGACGGAAGUCUGAUGCAGCAACGCCGCGUGCGGGAUGACGGCCUUCGGGUUGUAAACCGCUUUCAAUUGUGACGAAGCUUUUUGUGACGGUAGCAGUAGAAGAAGCACCGGCUAACUACGUG